GACGUAGGGGGCGAGCGUUAUUCGGAAUUACUGGGCGUAAAGUGUGCGCAGGCGGCAGAGCAAGUCGAGUGUGAAAGCCCCGGGCUUAACUUGGGAAUUGCGCUCGAAACUACUUUGCUGGAGUGUGGCAGAGGAAGGUGGAAUUCCACGUGUAGCGGUGAAAUGCGUAGAGAUGUGGAGGAACACCAAUGGCGAAGGCAGCCUUCUGGGCCAACACUGACGCUCAUGCACGAAAGCGUGGGGAGCAAACAGG
This 253-nucleotide ribosomal RNA is filed under the name uncultured bacterium. Its description in RNAcentral is "partial 16S ribosomal RNA". It matches the Rfam family "Bacterial small subunit ribosomal RNA", at positions 524 to 776 of the family's 1533-position model. The record is from RNAcentral.